RNAcentral lists this transfer RNA (73 nucleotides) under Actinomycetaceae bacterium. RNAcentral's name for it is "tRNA-Arg". It matches the Rfam family "tRNA". From Rfam's summary of the family: Transfer RNA (tRNA) molecules are approximately 80 nucleotides in length. Lineage: Bacteria; Bacillati; Actinomycetota; Actinomycetes; Actinomycetales; Actinomycetaceae. The record is from RNAcentral.
GCCCUCGUAGCUCAGGGGAUAGAGCACCGCUCUCCUAAAGCGGGUGUCGCACGUUCGAAUCGUGUCGAGGGCA